Molecule: unclassified non-coding RNA, 324 nt
Filed under: soil metagenome
Description: partial contains 5.8S ribosomal RNA, internal transcribed spacer 2, and large subunit ribosomal RNA
Rfam family: 5.8S ribosomal RNA (bases 1-120)
Source: RNAcentral
GAUGAAGAACGCAGCGAAAUGCGAUAAGUAAUGUGAAUUGCAGAAUUCAGUGAAUCAUCGAAUCUUUGAACGCACAUUGCGCCCCUUGGUAUUCCGGGGGGCAUGCCUGUUCGAGCGUCAUUAUAACCCUCAAGCCUAGCUUGGUGUUGGAGCAUGCUACCUAGCAGCUCUUAAAAUCAGUGGCAGUGCCCUUCGGCUCUAAGCGUAGUAACUUUUCUCGCUACAGAACCCAGAGGGUACGCGCCAAAACCCCCAACUUUCUAUGGUUGACCUCGGAUCAGGUAGGGAUACCCGCUGAACUUAAGCAUAUCAAUAAGCGGAGGA